This 398-nucleotide ribosomal RNA is filed under the name Escherichia coli. Its description in RNAcentral is "partial 23S ribosomal RNA". It matches the Rfam family "Bacterial large subunit ribosomal RNA", at positions 1 to 429 of the family's 2925-position model. Lineage: Bacteria; Pseudomonadati; Pseudomonadota; Gammaproteobacteria; Enterobacterales; Enterobacteriaceae. The record is from RNAcentral.
GGGUUGUGAGGUUAAGCGACUAAGCGUACACGGUGGAUGCCCUGGCAGUCAGAGGCGAUGAAGGACGUGCUAAUCUGCGAUAAGCGUCGGUAAGGUGAUAUGAACCGUUAUAACCGGCGAUUUCCGAAUGGGGAAACCCAGUGUGAUUCGUCACACUAUCAUUAACUGAAUCCAUAGGUUAAUGAGGCGAACCGGGGGAACUGAAACAUCUAAGUACCCCGAGGAAAAGAAAUCAACCGAGAUUCCCCCAGUAGCGGCGAGCGAACGGGGAGGAGCCCAGAGCCUGAAUCAGUGUGUGUGUUAGUGGAAGCGUCUGGAAAGGCGCGCGAUACAGGGUGACAGCCCCGUACACAAAAAUGCACAUGCUGUGAGCUCGAUGAGUAGGGCGGGACACGUGG